GCAGGAUCUCUAUCUUUUAUUUUGUAUGUCUUUAGAACUUCCUCUUCAAAAGGCUGAUCUCUUACUUCUCCGUUUUCAGGUGAUUGAAAAUUCCUGAAGCAUUUCCUGGAGUAGAAUGGGUAGUGAAGACCCAUGUCAGUGAUCAGAGGACUCCGGAAACCAGGAGAGCUGCCUGCUGUGUCAAGGCUGGCCUGAGGGCAUUUGCUGAGCACAGAGACACCCAGGAGAGAUCAACAGUCUUUUCCCACUCCUCCUCUUGAUCUGUCUGAUUUGCACACAGAAAGCCAGCCAGGAUCCCCUAAGAGAGUCUCUAGGCCACAAUGGAGUCCUCAGGGCUGCAGGGAGCUGUGAUGCUAACAAUUUAACCUGCUGAGGACUUUAAAGAGUUGAAGGGGACUAAUAGUACCCAAGCAC
RNAcentral lists this long non-coding RNA (414 nucleotides) under Neogale vison (American mink). RNAcentral describes it as "Neovison vison (American mink) lncRNA (ENSNVIG00000024245.1)". The record is from RNAcentral. Lineage: Eukaryota; Metazoa; Chordata; Mammalia; Carnivora; Mustelidae.